Molecule: long non-coding RNA, 1852 nt
Organism: Anguilla rostrata (American eel)
Lineage: Eukaryota; Metazoa; Chordata; Actinopteri; Anguilliformes; Anguillidae
Exons: 2
Source: RefSeq, a predicted model, not a curated record
CUUAGUUGUGCGCAGUGCUGUUUGAAAGCACGUGGUCACAAAGUGUUAGUCAGUCGGGAUAAUGAUAACAGCAGAGCAUGCUGGUUGGCAUGGCAACGACAGCAGCAUGGUGUGCGACAGCUCUUGCUGACAGCUAUGUUUGCGGAGAAAUACACGUGGCAACAGUGCGGUGAAGGCUGUUGGAUCUGGGCCCGGUGACCUGGUGACUGGACUGCAAGACGGGGUCCAGGAAACUGAUGCCAUGGAAACGGAAUGUCGCUGGGUGCCAGGGUUCCAAGCCUUCGUGCGUGUGUCAGACUGCUUCGACUGGGGGGGGGCAUGGUUGGCCCCCAGCCCCACUUGGACUCGUCCCUUUUGUUUAUUUGGCCCCGAUGGCUGGAGAACAGAGUAGGGCAGGGGUGGGGGUGGGGGUUCAGUGGGGCCUCAUCCUGAAAGAUCUGCCCUUGUGUGCAGCCACACAGUCAGUAAGCAGUGAGAUCAGGUUUCUAACACACUUACCUUAUCUUGCACUCGCUCUGGUUUAAUUCGCCAGUACCUCCCAGUUUCCAUUUCUGGUCCAAAUCCUGAUGUUAGAACCUCACACACACACUCUGUCACAGGGAAGAGGGGAUUUUCACUGUUUCCCUUCAAAUAAGGACUUCCGGGUCGAUUAAUCUGCUAUUUUCAUGAUCUUGGGAACUAAUAGUCACCUUUUCUGACAUACCUCAGCCACACAGUCAUGUAGAGCUUUGUUGAUCCCAUCCUGACCUUCCCAACCUAGUCCACGAUUUCUCACUUACUCGAUCAAGGCCAUUUCUGUUUUACUGUCACACGCCAGAGCCCUAUGUUGAACCACAGUGCGAUUUACUCUUUUUAUCAUUAAUAAAAUUAUAUUGGUUUAAUAUUUAAGAUGGCGAUUGGGAUGUGUGCUAUCGAUAUGAGAAGAGACACGCUGUUUUGUCAUGAUAAAUUUGGUACUCUAAUGGCCGAAGGAUGAGAAAGGAACUCAAAGAACUUGAAAGACGGGUUGGAAAGGAAGGAACUUUUCUACAGCAGAGCAAUGGGAAAUGAAGAUGAUAUAUCUACACAAAAAUUUUCCUCAUUUACCAUACAUGCAAUCUUGUGCUGUCUGCAUACCUCUGCACUGUGCACACAAGUCUGCAAUAUGCUAUGUAUACAAGUUCAGUUGGUGAUGAUUUAUAUAUUUUACAGUGAAUGCCAUAUCCUUUGUGCAUUCAGAACAUAAAGCUCUUAAGUUUUUUAUUUUUAUUUUACUUAAAUAGUGCCACUCGCGCUCUUUGUUGAACAGGAUCAGCCUUAGAGUCUGAAGUGCCUGCAAUUCAAGGCCAACAGGGCCAAAUUUCCCAUCUCCAGAGAGGCCAACAGGGCCUAAGUAUAGGGAGGCUUCCCAAGAAUAUAUAUACAGUUCUUGUAGGAAAACACCGUAUUUAUCGGAAGCCUACUGUAGGACAGCAGUGUCAGCACUUAGCAGUGGCCCCAUUUCCAUGAGAGAAGUUUCCCUAGAGUCCACUCCGGAGGUGUCAGUCAAGUAAAAAUUUCUCAGAGGAAACAGUCACCAGCCACAUCCUGUUCCCACGCAUUUAACGGUCCGCUGCAGUUUUACCCGUUCCCAAACAUUUAGCUAACACACAAAAAACCAUUAUGACGACGCCAAUGCCAUUUGGAUCAUGACCCGUAAAGAGCAACUGUUCUGUAUUUGCUCCAUAACAGCUGCAGUAGCUCAAACAAGCAUGUUGAAAUGCACCAGCAGCACUGGACAUACCAUUUCAAAUGUAAGAUCAAAAGUAUGUGAUUAGAAUGUUCUUAACAUUCUAAUGCUGAUGUCACAGUCACUACUGGUAAAUGAAAGCAA